Long non-coding RNA from Lontra canadensis (Northern American river otter), 507 nucleotides. RefSeq lists it as uncharacterized. NCBI's taxonomy places the organism in Eukaryota, Metazoa, Chordata, Mammalia, Carnivora, Mustelidae. The transcript is spliced from 4 exons. The record is from RefSeq and is a predicted model, not a curated record.
CAAAGGAAUUGAGUCCGCCUCCGUCAGGGUCACCAACUAUCCUGCCAGCCUCCUGGACGGACCUCAGGCUCUGUCUCAAUUCCAGAUUAAGUAGGAUCUCUGAGGUCAGAAAAAGAGCCAGGAAGUGGUGGAUGGGCAGCUAAGAUCAGUGUUCCUUUCCCUACCUGGUUUCCUCUCCACUCCAGUUCCCUCAUCCCCACACACACUGACUGAGGAUAUCACUGGCCUUCCUGCUGAAUCCGGAGGUGUGGGAUUUGACAGAACCGGGUCUAGGAGUCAUAUACGUAAAAGUAAACCUGGCAGCAUAUGGGCAUCAACACAGACAGACACACAGAUAUCCAGAUGUACCUACCCCCUUCAGCAGCCAGGAUCCAAAUCACCUCCAGCAGUAGAGUGAAGAACAACAUGGUAUCCCCGGAAGAAGCAGUCUUCACUCCACUUGCUGGCCGGUGACUUCACAAUUGCCUCCCGCUUUUAAGAGUCACCCGCCUGAGGAUGCGCCCAUUU